UAAAGAUUCAUCGCUGAUAGAUAGGCAUGCGUUCCAUUAGGCAGUUGGCGGGGUAACGGCCCACCAAACCGACGAUGGAUAGGGGUUCUGAGAGGAAGGUCCCCCACAUUGGUACUGAGACACGGACCAAACUCCUACGGGAGGCAGCAGUGAGGAAUAUUGGUCAAUGGGCGUAAGCCUGAACCAGCCAAGUCGCGUGAGGGAUGAAGGUUCUAUGGAUCGUAAACCUCUUUUAUAAGGGAAUAAAGUGUGGGACGUGUCCUGUUUUGUAUGUACCUUAUGAAUAAGGAUCGGCUAACUCCGUGCCAGCAGCCGCGGUAAUACGGAGGAUCCGAGCGUUAUCCGGAUUUAUUGGGUUUAAAGGGUGCGUAGGCGGCCUUUUAAGUCAGCGGUGAAAGUCUGUGGCUCAACCAUAGAAUUGCCGUUGAAACUGGGAGGCUUGAGUAUGUUUGAGGCAGGCGGAAUGCGUGGUGUAGCGGUGAAAUGCUUAGAUAUCACGCAGAACCCCGAUUGCGGAGGCAGCCUGCCAAGCCAUGACUGACGCUGAUGCACGAAAGCGUGGGGAUCAAACAGGAUUAGAUACCCUGGUAGUCCACGCAGUAAACGAUGAUCACUAGCUGUUUGCGAUACAGUGUAA
Molecule: ribosomal RNA, 637 nt
Filed under: uncultured bacterium
Lineage: Bacteria
Description: bacterial SSU rRNA
Rfam family: Bacterial small subunit ribosomal RNA
Source: RNAcentral